Non-coding RNA from Camellia sinensis, 600 nucleotides. The record is from RefSeq and is a predicted model, not a curated record. Lineage: Eukaryota; Viridiplantae; Streptophyta; Magnoliopsida; Ericales; Theaceae.
AAAGAAAAGUGGAUGUGGUCGGAUCAACCCGUUAGAGAGAGAGAGAGAGAGAGAGAGGGUGCAUGGAUUGGCUUGGCUCCACAUAUUUCGCCGGUACACGCCGUUGGCCGUACCCUGCUGCCCGCAAAAACCAGGUUGGAGUGAGCCGCCAAUUUAAAACCCCUCAAAUGGGGCAGCGCAGCGCAGCGCACGCCCGACCUUUUGUCUCAUGGAAACCUGCCACCCAUUGCCUCCUCUUUAGGUCGACAUGUCAACAGAAUUGAAGUCGAAAAAGUGGUCUGAAAAUGUGAAGACCGUUUGACCAAUGGUCAAGGAAUUGAAUUCAAAGACAUGCUGCAGCAGAGUCAGGAGUUGGGGAAGACCCAACAACAUGCGCAUUAUAAGAUAUACAGAAGCAAAAGUAUUGAAGCAGAGGCCCGACAACAAGGACGGAGACAGCCGUCUACUUGUGAGCCAGUUUUCCAUGUCUCUCAUAUUAAUGGUCAAAAUUUUGAAUCACGUUUUUUUUGGGUGAAUAAUUUUGAAUCAUGUUAAGAUGAUCAUAUUCUUAUAUAUUACAUUCAGCAUUAUAUUGAUUUACAAAUCUGAUCAAUUACGAUA